Molecule: ribosomal RNA, 903 nt
Filed under: Triticum aestivum (bread wheat)
Lineage: Eukaryota; Viridiplantae; Streptophyta; Magnoliopsida; Poales; Poaceae
Description: partial small subunit ribosomal RNA
Source: RNAcentral
AUGAGAAUAUUGUGUUGGAACUGUCGCGGGAUUGGCGACCCCGCGACGGUUCGUGAGCUUUGGGAGCUCAUACGGGAAAGUGCGCCGUCGGUGGUGUGUAUUGUGGAGACGCAAUUAACAAAACAGCGAGUGGAGGGCCUGACAUCUUUGUUAGGCUUUGAUGGGGGGUUUGCAGUUGCAAGUUCAGGGAGGAGCGGGGGUCUUGGUGUGUUCUGGAGGAAUGGAGUGGUAUUAACAGUGAAGAACUUUACAAGAUAUCAUAUUGAUGCCUGGGUGACAGAGCAAGGUAAGGAAGAUUGGCGACUCACAUGUUUCUAUGGAGAAGCGAACCGAAGUUUGAGAAAACAAACAUGGGACACCAUGGCUCACUUGAGGGGGGAAUCUACCAUUCCGUGGUUAUGCAUAGGAGACUUUAACGAAGUUUUAAGAAGGGAAGAACAAUUGGGUCCGAAUGAGAGAGAUGUUUCCCAAAUGGGUGGUUUUCGAGAGGCGGUUGACCUAUGUGGGCUUGAUGAUCUGGGCUAUAUUGGCCUCGAUUGGACGUUUGAGAAACGUGUAGCAGGAGGGCAGUUCUGUCGUGUAAGGCUGGACCGUGCUUUGGCAACUACUAGUUGGAGCGAUCUCUUCCCUUUCACUUCGGUUAGACACCUACUAGCUACUAAAUCAGACCACAGUCCAAUCGUUUUAUACUUGAACAUGGAUUCAGCAAACCGAAGAAUGGCAUUGGAUAAACCCUUUAGAUAUGAAGCGAUGUGGGAAACGCAUAAUGAUUUUAUACCAAUGGUGGAAAGGUUGUGGAAGGAUGAUGCACAUAGUGGUUCGGUAAGCGAUAUGAAAGACAAACUGGAAAGGUUGGCGAGUACACGAGCAAGUUGGGGGUCAUGCACUUUUGGACAUGUCUGA